GGAGGGAUGGCCGAGUGGUUUAAGGCGGCGGUCUUGAAAACCGCUGAGGGUUUAAAAAAGCCCUCCGGGGGUUCGAAUCCCUCUCCCUCCGCCA
This 94-nucleotide transfer RNA is filed under the name Candidatus Desulfofervidus auxilii. RNAcentral's name for it is "tRNA-Ser". It matches the Rfam family "tRNA". Rfam says of the family: Transfer RNA (tRNA) molecules are approximately 80 nucleotides in length. Their secondary structure includes four short double-helical elements and three loops (D, anti-codon, and T loops). Further hydrogen bonds mediate the characteristic L-shaped molecular structure. tRNAs have two regions of fundamental functional importance: the anti-codon, which is responsible for specific mRNA codon recognition, and the 3' end, to which the tRNAs corresponding amino acid is attached (by aminoacyl-tRNA synthetases). tRNAs cope with the degeneracy of the genetic code in two manners: having more than one tRNA (with a specific anti-codon) for a particular amino acid; and 'wobble' base-pairing, i.e. permitting non-standard base-pairing at the 3rd anti-codon position. Lineage: Bacteria; Pseudomonadati; Thermodesulfobacteriota; Candidatus Desulfofervidia; Candidatus Desulfofervidales; Candidatus Desulfofervidaceae. The record is from RNAcentral.